This 651-nucleotide ribosomal RNA is filed under the name uncultured Alphaproteobacteria bacterium. RNAcentral describes it as "bacterial SSU rRNA". It matches the Rfam family "Bacterial small subunit ribosomal RNA", at positions 44 to 741 of the family's 1533-position model. Lineage: Bacteria; Pseudomonadati; Pseudomonadota; Alphaproteobacteria. The record is from RNAcentral.
AUGCCUAAUACAUGCAAGUCGAACGAGAUCUUCGGAUCUAGUGGCGCACGGGUGCGUAACGCGUGGGAAUCUGCCCUUGGGUUCGGAAUAACGUCGGGAAACUGACGCUAAUACCGGAUGAUGACGAAAGUCCAAAGAUUUAUCGCCCAGGGAUGAGCCCGCGUAGGAUUAGCUAGUUGGUGGGGUAAAGGCUCACCAAGGCUACGAUCCUUAGCUGGUCUGAGAGGAUGAUCAGCCAUACUGGGACUGAGACACGGCCCAGACUCCUACGGGAGGCAGCAGUAGGGAAUAUUGGACAAUGGGGGCAACCCUGAUCCAGCAAUGCCGCGUGAGUGAUGAAGGCCUUAGGGUUGUAAAGCUCUUUUACCCGAGAUGAUAAUGACAGUAUCGGGAGAAUAAGCUCCGGCUAACUCCGUGCCAGCAGCCGCGGUAAUACGGAGGGAGCUAGCGUUGUUCGGAAUUACUGGGCGUAAAGCGCACGUAGGCGGCGAUUUAAGUCAGAGGUGAAAGCCCGGGGCUCAACCCCGGAACUGCCUUUGAGACUGGAUUGCUAGAAUCUUGGAGAGGCGGGUGGAAUUCCGAGUGUAGAGGUGAAAUUCGUAGAUAUUCGGAAGAACACCAGUGGCGAAGGCGGCCCGCUGGACAAGUAUU